Triticum aestivum (bread wheat) is the source of this 1070-nucleotide long non-coding RNA. RefSeq lists it as uncharacterized. The transcript is spliced from 4 exons. NCBI's taxonomy places the organism in Eukaryota, Viridiplantae, Streptophyta, Magnoliopsida, Poales, Poaceae. The record is from RefSeq and is a predicted model, not a curated record.
UACACGCUUCCCCUUACCUCUUCCUUCGUCGCUCGGGUCCCCCAGUCUUCGUCGCCACCGCCGCACUACGACACAAGGUCAUCUGCCCCCGCCUCCUUCACUCCCUACCAUCCCACCCCCAUUUUUUGUUGCCGUCGACGGCGGCGAUCUUGGUGAAGGUGAGCCGCGAUGCCCUGCUUCCGGUGAGUCUGCCCUGAAGGAUAGCGUGGAAGCAAAUUAGUGCGGGCUCCGUCGGCUGAGCAGCCGUCGGCCGGCCUCCGCGUAGAUGGCAUGGCGGACCGUGGACGUGGUUGGGUCGGCUCCAGAGUGGCCGUCGAAAGGGACGCGGUGAUUCUAGAUCUACCCAUCUGGGCUUUGCGUGCGUGACAAUGGCGCUGGCACAGACGGGCCUGAACCGAACGUGUCAUUUAGGUUCAUGUGCAAUAGAGCAUAGUACAGGGAGUGUUUCUUCUCAAAUUGUCCUGCUCCAAUCGGCCUCAACCAUGGCGUGGUCAGCGGCAGCAGGAGGAUGCAGGUCGUGGGUCAUGCUGACAAUUGUGCUGCUGCUUGCUGGAUGGUGAGGUUGUUCGGAUAUGCGGCCACAGCGAGGGGAGCAGCCUAGCAUUGACUACUGGUUCAUGCUCUCUGUCCCUCAUUAGAGCCGCCCAUGUGUAUGUAUUGAGCAAGUUCACCACUGCAAAUUCUUGAUGAUACUACUGUAUACUGGUGCCUAGAUCAUCAAGGAUUAUAAUAGCCCUUGGAAGUGGUGCUGCACAACAACGAAGACGAGUGGCCAUGGGAAAUGCAUGCAGUUCUACAUUGAUAGAGGUUUACCCGCGAGAGUUGUCGAGUUCUCAAAAGACCGAAUUGAUAAGCAUGCUUCGCUCCCACCAAUGUUCUCAGCAAAUUUGCUCUCAUGAACAGAUCUAUUUCUUCACCAAAAAUUGUUAUGAGAUAUUCUAUUUUUCUUCAUCCAUAUUUGCUUUUAGGUAAUGAGAUUGAGUCCUAUUUCUUCAGAACUGCUGCAUGUAAAGUUCAGUAUAAAUCUGACUUUUAUGGACAUGUAAGGUGCUUGAAAAUUGCGUCAAAAA